RNAcentral lists this ribosomal RNA (252 nucleotides) under uncultured bacterium. RNAcentral describes it as "partial 16S ribosomal RNA". It matches the Rfam family "Bacterial small subunit ribosomal RNA", at positions 524 to 776 of the family's 1533-position model. The record is from RNAcentral.
UACGUAGGUGGCAAGCGUUGUCCGGAAUUAUUGGGCGUAAAGCGCGCGCAGGUGGGAUAAUAAGUCUUUUGUAAAAGUGCGGGGCUCAACCCCGUAACGCGACGGAUACUGUUAUUCUUGAGUGCAGGAGAGGAAAGCGGAAUUCCCAGUGUAGCGGUGAAAUGCGUAGAUAUUGGGAGGAACACCAGUGGCGAAGGCGGCUUUCUGGACUGUGUCUGACACUGAGGCGCGAAAGCUAGGGGAGCGAACGGG